GCGUUGUCCGGAGUCAUUGGGCGUAAAGAGCGUGUAGGCGGCCCGGUAAGUCCGCUGUGAAAGUCGAGGGCUCAACCCUCGAAUGCCGGCGGAUACUGUCGGGCUAGAGUCCGGAAGAGGCGAAUGGAAUUCCUGGUGUAGCGGUGAAAUGCGCAGAUAUCAGGAGGAACACCAACGGCGAAGGCAGCUCGCUGGGACGGAACUGGCGCUGAGACGCGAAAGCGUG
RNAcentral lists this ribosomal RNA (226 nucleotides) under uncultured bacterium. Its description in RNAcentral is "partial 16S ribosomal RNA". It matches the Rfam family "Bacterial small subunit ribosomal RNA", at positions 538 to 763 of the family's 1533-position model. The record is from RNAcentral.